This is a non-coding RNA of Podarcis lilfordi (Lilford's wall lizard), 66 nucleotides long. The record is from the annotation of a GenBank genome assembly. Lineage: Eukaryota; Metazoa; Chordata; Lepidosauria; Squamata; Lacertidae.
GCAGCUCAGGGGUAGAGCAUCUGCUUUGCAGGCUGACGUACCCAGGUUCAAUUCCCAGCAGCAUCU